GAUGAACGCUGGCGGCGUGCCUAAUACAUGCAAGUCGAGCGAACAGACGAGGAGCUUGCUCCUCUGACGUUAGCGGCGGACGGGUGAGUAACACGUGGAUAACCUACCUAUAAGACUGGGAUAACUUCGGGAAACCGGAGCUAAUACCGGAUAAUAUAUUGAACCGCAUGGUUCAAUAGUGAAAGACGGUUUUGCUGUCACUUAUAGAUGGAUCCGCGCCGCAUUAGCUAGUUGGUAAGGUAACGGCUUACCAAGGCAACGAUGCGUAGCCGACCUGAGAGGGUGAUCGGCCACACUGGAACUGAGACUCGGUCCAGACUCCUACGGGAGGCAGCAGUAGGGAAUCUUCCGCAAUGGGCGAAAGCCUGACGGAGCAACGCCGCGGGAGUGAUGAAGGUCUUCGGAUCGUAAAACUCUGUUAUUAGGGAAGAACAAAUGUGUAAGUAACUAUGCACGUCUUGACGGUACCUAAUCAGAAAGCCACGGCUAACUACGUG
Molecule: ribosomal RNA, 497 nt
Filed under: uncultured bacterium
Lineage: Bacteria
Description: partial 16S ribosomal RNA
Rfam family: Bacterial small subunit ribosomal RNA
Source: RNAcentral